Molecule: non-coding RNA, 74 nt
Organism: Galeopterus variegatus (Sunda flying lemur)
Lineage: Eukaryota; Metazoa; Chordata; Mammalia; Dermoptera; Cynocephalidae
Source: the annotation of a RefSeq genome assembly
UAGAUUGAAGCCAGUUGUUUUGGGGCGAUUAGCUGUUAACUAAUUUCUCGCAGGGUUGGAGCCUGUCAGUCUAG